Molecule: ribosomal RNA, 2924 nt
Filed under: Rhodocyclales bacterium
Lineage: Bacteria; Pseudomonadati; Pseudomonadota; Betaproteobacteria; Rhodocyclales
Description: 23S ribosomal RNA
Rfam family: Bacterial large subunit ribosomal RNA
Source: RNAcentral
GUUAUAGGGUCAAGCGAAUAAGUGCAUGUGGUGGAUGCCUUGGCGAUCACAGGCGAUGAAGGACGUUGCAGCGUGCGAAAAGCCACGGGGAGCUCGCAAACAAGCUUUGAUCCGUGGAUGUCCGAAUGGGGAAACCCGGCCCGCAAGGGUCAUCCUUGGCUGAAUACAUAGGCCAAUGGAGGCGAACCCGGUGAACUGAAACAUCUAAGUAGCCGGAGGAACAGAAAUCAACCGAGAUUCCGAAAGUAGUGGCGAGCGAAAUCGGAAGAGCCUGCACAAUUUAACCAUUACGCUAGCAGAGCGGUCUGGAAAGGCCGGCCAUAGUGGGUGAUAGCCCCGUAUGCGAAAGCCUGGUGGUGGAACUGAGUGUGCGAGAAGUAGGGCGGGACACGUGAAAUCCUGUCUGAAGAUGGGGGGACCAUCCUCCAAGGCUAAAUACUCGUGAUCGACCGAUAGUGAACCAGUACCGUGAGGGAAAGGCGAAAAGAACCCCGGGAGGGGAGUGAAAUAGAUCCUGAAACCGCAUGCAUACAAACAGUGGGAGCCCCUGCUUAAUGGGCUUUCGACGAGUGCGCGUAGCGCACGAGUCAAAAGACCUUCGGAUGAAAUAGAUCCAGAAAUAUCCGAAGGGCUUUCGGUUCUUUCGAGGAGCGCGAAGCGCGACUCAAAAGAACUAAGAAAGAAAUAGAUCCUGCAGACAAGCCACAAGGCUUCGUUGGUUGGAUCUAGCAACCUUGAUGAGUUCAAUCGAAGUGGAGUGACUUCGGAUUGCGAUUGGCGUGAGCGAAAGCGAACGGCAAGCGCGAGACGAAAGGAACCCCUGCUUGAUGGACUCAUCGAGAGUCCAUCAAGCAGGGGUGACUGCGUACCUUUUGUAUAAUGGGUCAGCGACUUACAUUCAGUGGCGAGCUUAACCGAAUAGGGGAGGCGUAGCGAAAGCGAGUCCGAACAGGGCGAAUCAGUCGCUGGGUGUAGACCCGAAACCAGAUGAUCUACCCAUGGCCAGGAUGAAGGUUGGGUAACACCAGCUGGAGGUCCGAACCCACUACCGUUGAAAAGGUAGGGGAUGAGCUGUGGGUAGGGGUGAAAGGCCAAACAAAUCUGGAGAUAGCUGGUUCUCUCCGAAAGCUAUUUAGGUAGCGCCUCGUGUAUCACUUCCGGGGGUAGAGCACUGUAAUGGUUGUGGGGGUCAUUGCGACUUACCGCGCCAUAGCAAACUCCGAAUACUGGAAAGUGUGAGCACGGGAGACAGACUUGGGGUGCUAACGUCCUGAGUCGAGAGGGAAACAACCCAGACCGCCGAUUAAGGUCCCGAAGACACAGUUAAGUGGGAAACGAGGUGGGAAGGCUUAGACAGCCAGGAGGUUGGCUUAGAAGCAGCCAUCCUUUAAAGAAAGCGUAAUAGCUCACUGGUCGAGUCGUCCUGCGCGGAAAAUGUAACGGGGCUCAAACUGUGCACCGAAAUCGCGGAUAUCCGUAAGGAUAUGGUAGGAGAGCGUUCCGUAGGCCGUUGAAGGUGGGGUGUGAACCCUGCUGGAGGUAUCGGAAGUGCGAAUGCUGACAUGAGUAGCGAUAAAGCGGGUGAAAGGCCCGCUCGCCGAAAGCCCAAGGUUUCCUGCGCAACGUUCAUCGGCGCAGGGUGAGUCGGCCCCUAAGGCGAGGCCGAAAGGCGUAGUCGAUGGACGUCCCGGUUCAAGCGUGUAGGCGUGCCCGGUAGGCAAAUCCGCUGGGCUUAGCCGAGGCGUGAUGACGCAAGGUCCUUCGGGACCCCAAGCCGCUGAGACCCCGCUUCCAGGAAAAGCCUCUAAGCUUCAGUUGCAUGAAGACCGUACCGCAAACCGACACAGGUGGGCAGGAUGAAGAUUCUAAGGCGCUUGAGAGAACUCAGGAGAAGGAACUCGGCAAAUUAGCACCGUAACUUCGGGAGAAGGUGCGCCCUUGUAGCGUGAAGGCCCUUGCGGCUGGAGCGUGACGGGGUUGCAGUGAAUUGGUGGCUGCGACUGUUUAAUAAAAACACAGCACUCUGCAAAGGCGAAAGCCGACGUAUAGGGUGUGACGCCUGCCCGGUGCCGGAAGGUUAAGUGAUGGGGUGCAAGCUCUUGAUCGAAGCCCCGGUAAACGGCGGCCGUAACUAUAACGGCUUUGAAGGCGGGAUGCUAGUUCCGCUGGAGCCGUCCUUGAAAUACCACCCUGGUGUCAUUGAGGUUCUAACCUGGAUCCCUUAUCGGGAUCGGGGACCGUGCAUGGCAGGCAGUUUGACUGGGGCGGUCUCCUCCCAAAGGGUAACGGAGGAGUUCGAAGGUUCGCUAGGUACGGUCGGACAUCGUACUGAUAGUGCAUUGGCAAAAGCGAGCUUGACUGCGAGACGGACAUGUCGAGCAGGUGCGAAAGCAGGACAAAGUGAUCCGGUGGUUCUGUAUGGAAGGGCCAUCGCUCAACGGAUAAAAGGUACGCUGGGGAUAACAGGCUGAUGACCCCCAAGAGUUCAUAUCGACGGGGUCGUUUGGCACCUCGAUGUCGGCUCAUCUCAUCCUGGGGCUGUAGCCGGUCCCAAGGGUAUGGCUGUUCGCCAUUUAAAGAGGUACGUGAGCUGGGUUUAAAACGUCGUGAGACAGUUUGGUCCCUAUCUGCAGUGGGCGUUGGAGAUUUGACGGGGGCUGCUCCUAGUACGAGAGGACCGGAGUGGACGCACCUCUGGUGUACCGGUUGUGACGCCAGUCGCAUCGCCGGGUAGCUAUGUGCGGAAGAGAUAACCGCUGAAAGCAUCUAAGCGGGAAACUUGCCUGAAGAUGAGAUCUCCCGGAGGCUUGACCUCCCUGAAGGGUCGUGGAAGACCACCACGUUGAUAGGCCGGGUGUGGAAGCGCAGUAAUGCGUUAAGCUAACCGGUACUAAUUGCCCGUGCGGCUUGAUCCUAUAACCUUA